GCAGCUGACCUGCUGGCUUAAAGAAGGAAGCCACAAAACCCAUCGCUCAAAUCAUGGAAAAUCCAAACUUUUUACGGCUGGAAUUGGGGAUUGCUCAGGACAGAUGCGCCGAAUUUGUGCUAAGAAUAGCCGUGCGGUAGAGGAAAGGCAGGAAAUGGGUUCAACGGCAAUUUGGGAAAGAGAUGCUGGGUUUGGUAGCAUAGCUGGUUGGGACUGACUUGCUCAGAAUAGGUAGGCUGAAUUUUGCACAGAAUAGGCUUCAAUGCAAUUUGAGGGGUCUUCAAUGCAAUUUGAGGGGAAUGCAAUUUGAGGGGAAAACGGGGCAAUAGCAAAAGAAGGAAAACAAAGGCAACAAAUGGGUUCAACGGCGGUAGCAUAGCUGGUUGGGACUGACUUGCUCAGAAUAGGUAGGCUGAAUUUUGCACAGAAUAGGCUUCAAUGCAAUUUGAGGGGUCUUCAAUGCAAUUUGAGGGGAAUGCAAUUUGAGGGGAAAACGGGGCAAUAGCAAAAGAAGGAAAACAAAUAGAAGACUAAACAACUUGCCACUUGUCAGAUACAUAACAAACCACGUGGCAAGAGGAAAGCAAAGCAUUAAAUCUGGCUCUUUUCUUAUAUACUAG
RNAcentral lists this long non-coding RNA (620 nucleotides) under Coffea arabica (coffee). Its description in RNAcentral is "long non-coding RNA (CARA_LNC004297)". The record is from RNAcentral. Lineage: Eukaryota; Viridiplantae; Streptophyta; Magnoliopsida; Gentianales; Rubiaceae.